RNAcentral lists this ribosomal RNA (213 nucleotides) under Triticum aestivum (bread wheat). RNAcentral describes it as "partial small subunit ribosomal RNA". The record is from RNAcentral. Lineage: Eukaryota; Viridiplantae; Streptophyta; Magnoliopsida; Poales; Poaceae.
AUGGAGGCCGCCCGCUCUCCUCCUCAGGACUGCCCGAGAUUGACCCCAACCCCGGCGAGAUGCUUCCUCGAGCGGACGGGGGAUGAGCAGCGCGACCGCACAACCCCGCAACUUGGCCCUCGGGCCCCUGGCGGCGGGCAGGUGCGCGACGGGGCACCAGAGGUGGUAGCUGGACAUGCCGGCUCCCAUCCAGCGGGUCAUCGACCCACCUAG